CCUCCUUCAAAAUGCAGCCUGAUUGUGAUUCAUGGCAAAAAGCUGGAAUAGCCCUGCCAGGUCGUAGACACAUUAAGAUAAAUUGCAUUGAAUGUGAUACAUAUAAAACAGCACCUUGAAAAUGAAUCAUCUGCUAAUUCAGUAUUUUCUAAUUACAAUCACUCCCUCUCAGGGCAUGUAAUUAAUUUACUGAGUUUAAAAAAAAAAAAGUCAGGAUUACUCACACAGUCUUGAAGAUGCAAUGUCAGCUAUUUAGGACAGAAACAUCCAAGGCCGUGUUAGAACUCAAUUACCACUACAUAGGCGUUAAAGCAGGAACUGCAGGCCUCUGGACUACGGCAACUAUAGGACUCGUGCUGCUCGUACGCUGGGCUAUAAUUUAUGAAACUGAGCCCCAGAUCCAGCCAAUCAUUUAGCUCCUCAUAACAAGUCUAACUGGCUCUGGAAAGCUGAAAGGGCUGCACUAGAACAACAAAGAUGAGAUAGUCCACACAAUAAUCUGCUUAUCUGGAAUCACUUUCCCUCACAAGGGCUGGAGAAAAAUCACAGCUCCAUUGUCUGAGGGCAGGACAGCUGACCUGAGAAAAUGCGACUACACCUGGAGCACGACCUUUUCUGGCGUGGCAAUCCCAGUCGAGCCGGCAUUAAAGGACCGAGCUGCCCCUGGAAACCGAAGGGCAAUGACAGCCGCAAAAACCUCAGUGCUGUUGUCUACAGUGACUAUGUGAGAACCGAAACUUCUGAGGAAGCCAGGGUGUUAAAAUUGUUCCCUUUACUCAAAGAUAAUAUGGAUUAUGUAGCCUGAAAUGGAAAUCAAACCCUUAAGGUAAUAUUGCCAUUGAAUCCUCAACACACCCAACUCCCCCUUUCUCAUUCCCUUAAUAAAACUUCAUUAAAAUCCCCUC
This is a long non-coding RNA of Myotis davidii, 905 nucleotides long. RefSeq lists it as uncharacterized. NCBI's taxonomy places the organism in Eukaryota, Metazoa, Chordata, Mammalia, Chiroptera, Vespertilionidae. The transcript is spliced from 2 exons. The record is from RefSeq and is a predicted model, not a curated record.